RNAcentral lists this ribosomal RNA (253 nucleotides) under uncultured bacterium. RNAcentral's name for it is "partial 16S ribosomal RNA". It matches the Rfam family "Bacterial small subunit ribosomal RNA", at positions 524 to 776 of the family's 1533-position model. The record is from RNAcentral.
UACGUAGGGAGCAAGCGUUGUCCGGAAUCAUUGGGCGUAAAGCGCGCGUAGGUGGCCUCGUAAGUCCGCUGUAAAAGUCAAAGGCUCAACCUUUGAAAGUCGGUGGAUACUGCGGGGCUAGAGUACGGAAGAGGCGAGUGGAAUUCCUGGUGUAGCGGUGGAAUGCGCAGAUAUCAGGAGGAACACCAAUAGCGAAGGCAGCUCGCUGGGACGUUACUGACACUGAGGCGCGAAAGCGUGGGGAGCGAACAGG